Molecule: long non-coding RNA, 997 nt
Organism: Capsicum annuum
Lineage: Eukaryota; Viridiplantae; Streptophyta; Magnoliopsida; Solanales; Solanaceae
Exons: 4
Source: RefSeq, a predicted model, not a curated record
CUUUUGACCAUAAGCGUUGCAAUAGCUAAAUAAAAUAAGCUAUAGCAACGCUUAUUUUAUUCCCUCCAUUUUCACAAAAACUUUUCAUUCAUUCCUCCAAAAAAAAAGAAAAACAUUUUAAUAAACCUACAGCUUAAACUUUCAUAUUGUACAAUUUUAUUUCUCUCUUAGCUCUAAACCUACGGGAUGGCUACAGUAUAGUCAACGAUUAGGCUGCCAACUUUCUCUUACCUUAAACCUACGACAUUGCUACAGUAAUUGACGAUUAGGGCUGCCAAGUUUUCUCUUCGAUUAGCUGAUAUUGCUACAAUAAUCGACUAUUAGGGCUGCCAAGUUUUCUCUUCGACUAGCUGAUAGAAUCGCUACAAUCAACAAUUAGGACUGCCGGGUACUCUUUCAUUAGCUGAUAGACUCGUUACAAUCGACGAUUAGGGCUGCCGGUGUACUGUUCGCUAAAAUCGCUAACGACAGUCGCUACAGUUGCUACAAACUAUUCAAUCUUGUGGAGAUGAUCUAAUAGUGAGCUGCCGGUGGUGAGCUCUAUGGGAUUUACUGGAGCCGCUUCAAAAAUCUAUUUGUGUUGGAAAGGCAGACCGAUUUUGUACAACAAUUUCUCUCAAAUUUGCACUUCAAUUGCUUCAAUUUUGGAAUUUUAAGGCUUGCCACCACGUUACAGUGACUUCAUUAGGAAAAUCACACCUGGAUUGUCUCUUUUCUUGUACAACUACUCAACUUAUCAGUUUCACGGAGUUUUUGAGGUUGCUAGCUUUGGUGGCUCAAACAUUGGUCUGUCUGCCUGGACAAGAACCCUUGUGAAUCUUGCUUUCCUGCUCAGACUUAAAGAAUCAUGAAUCAGCAAGGGUGUUCGAGAAAUCAUCAGAAAGCUAAAAACUUUCUUUCAGCUGGAUCACUAACAGCUCUACGAAAUAAACAAAUACUAGAACACAAGAAGAAGAAGAACACAAGAUGCAUAAAUGCAAAGGAAAAAAAUCAAAAG